GCCAGUAGUCAUAUGCUUGUCUCAAAGACUAAGCCAUGCAUGUCUAAGUAUCAUCCGAAACUGCGAAUGGCUCAUUAAAACAGUUAUAGUUUACUUGAUAUUGCAUUUUACAUGGAUAACCGUAGUAAUUCUAGAGCUAAUACAUGCGUUACGCCAAACUUCUGGAAUGGCAGUAUUUAUUAGAUAACAAAUCAAUAUUCCUCUGGUCUAUUUGAUGAUUCAUAAUAACUAGCUUAUCGAAUCGCUGGGUUGUACCCGCGAUAAAUCAAUCAAGUUUCUGCCCCAUCAGCUUGAUGGUAGUGUAUUGGACUACCAUGGCUUUUACGGGUAACGGGGGAUUAGGGGUUCGACACCGGAGAGGGAGCCUGAGAAACGGCUACCACUUCUACGGAAGGCAGCAGGCGCGUAAAUUACCCAAUCCUAAUUCAGGGAGUAGUGACAAGAAAUAAUAGACCGGCGUAAGCCGGGUUUACAAUGAGCCUAAUUACACAGCUUAGUGAGGAUCG
This 506-nucleotide ribosomal RNA is filed under the name uncultured eukaryote. RNAcentral's name for it is "SSU rRNA". It matches the Rfam family "Eukaryotic small subunit ribosomal RNA", at positions 16 to 546 of the family's 1831-position model. The record is from RNAcentral.